Molecule: long non-coding RNA, 1366 nt
Organism: Gymnogyps californianus (California condor)
Lineage: Eukaryota; Metazoa; Chordata; Aves; Accipitriformes; Cathartidae
Exons: 6
Source: RefSeq, a predicted model, not a curated record
CUCCCGGAUGGACCUUAGAUUUAUAUUGCAGCCUUGCUUCAGGAUCUCUCUCUUCCUGCUCUGGAUGGACCUUGAGUUUUUGUCUGGAAAAUCACCCUCACUGAAAUAUUUGCUUUGGGAGCGUGGUUUGGAAAUGUGGAUUUUAUUUUGAUUCUGUGAUCUGCAGGCUCAAGAAGGAUUCAGAAAAACUGCUGGAAAAGACAACCUAUUAUUUUAAAAUCAGCAUUGGGGAGUUCCUGCUGAAGUUCCAUGUGAAGUUAUAGCAGAAACACUGGGAGGAGCAACACAGCUGGAGGCAGGUCCAUAGCAAACAUCAAAUGUCAAGCAGUCACUCAAGAAGCAGUUGUGGGGAGCGCUGAAACAACAUACUGUGCAGGUAGAAAUACCUGUUGGCGUGUUCUUUGAAAGAAGCAGGUGGCAGCAGCCUCACCUCAAACCAAAAGUAGGCUGUAUAGACACCAUGAAGUCUGAUAUGCUGAUCAGUGAGGCCUACUGUGAAGAUGGAUCAUGUUGGAGACAGAGCAUCCCAUCCUGAGAGGGCCUGGGGCUGAGCUGAGGACCACCACAGAGGUACCCAGGGCAGCACUGGUUAGCUUUGUCCGACUGCUUCUGACUGCAGCAAACGGGGUGAGAAAGUAUGGAAUGGAGUGUGGUGAAACUGCUCAGGGAUCCUACAGUGCACCUACCAGUACAAAUAGAAAAGUUAAUUCAAAAGGAGAUGAAGACUGGCAGAAGAUAAGAUGCUUCAGCCUGGAAAGGAGUGGAAAAUCUCACCCUGUGGAGGAGACAGGUGGAAACAGAGGAAAGGAGUAUGAGCUGGGAACUUCCAGAAAACAAAAAUCACCAGCUAAACCUUGGCGUGCCUUGGGAUUACCUUGCUCUCUGGUGGAGAACAGGAAACCUCGCUCCUGGUAAAGGCAGUGGAAAUGUCCACAGCGAAGACCAACACUAAAUGACUGCAGAAAGCAACAUGAAAAUCACUUCUUUCAAAAUUCACUCCUUUUGGUGAACACACAGCCUCCACCCUGGCAUAAUUUUGCUUGAAGCGCUGGGUACUGAACUAAAGAGAAGCCAUUUAAGGGAAAAAAGUAUGAACUGUCAAUUAUAUAUGAAAAUCAGAGUUCAUUACUUAAUGCCUCAAUACUUUGAUACUGUAGAGGAUGCUUCAAUAUCAGGAAGUGACUAGGAAAUAAGUGGUCUCUGAGUUUAUUGGGACAUACGCUUCUUUUCCUAAACAAAUAUACUAUACUGAAAAACAGUGUCCUGCGAGGGAGUAACUGGCUAUGGUGUAUACUGGGACUUUGUUCUCUUAUAGCCUUUGGUUCGGCCCUUCAUUUUAUUACUGGGAAAUCUGAAGUCCACACUG